UCAAACAGGAUUAGAUACCGUGGUAGUCCACGCCGUAAACGAUGAUUACUGGUCGUUUGCAAUAGACCGCAAGCGGCUGAGCGAAAGCAUUAAGUAAUCCACCUGGGGAGUACGUUGGCAACAAUGAAACUCAAAGGAAUUGACGGGGGCCCGCACAAGCGGUGGAACAUGUGGUUUAAUUCGAUGAUACGCGAGGAACCUUACCUGGGCUUAAAUGGAGAAUGACAGGGGUGGAAACACCCUUUUCUUCGGACAUUUUUCAAGGUGCUGCAUGGUUGUCGUCAGCUCGUGCCGUGAGGUGUCGGGUUAAGUCCCAUAACGAGCGCAACCCCUGUUGUCAGUUACCAGCACGUAAAGGUGGGGACUCUGGCAAGACUGCCGGUGUAAACCGCGAGGAAGGUGGGGAUGACGUCAAAUCAGCACGGCCCUUACGUCCAGGGCUACACACGUGUUACAAUGGCAGGUACAAAGGGCAGCUACACAGCAAUGUGAUGCUAAUCUCGAAAGCCUGUCCCAGUUCGGAUUGGAGUCUGCAACCCGACUUCAUGAAGCUGGAAUCGCUAGUAACCGCGCAUCAGCCAUGGCGCAGGUGAAUACGUUCCCGGGCAUUGUACACACCGCCCGUCAAGCCAUGAAGCCGGGAGUACCU
Molecule: ribosomal RNA, 649 nt
Filed under: uncultured organism
Description: bacterial SSU rRNA
Rfam family: Bacterial small subunit ribosomal RNA
Source: RNAcentral